Molecule: ribosomal RNA, 440 nt
Filed under: uncultured bacterium
Lineage: Bacteria
Description: partial 16S ribosomal RNA
Rfam family: Bacterial small subunit ribosomal RNA
Source: RNAcentral
CCUACGGGAGGCAGCAGUGAGGGAUAUUGGUCAAUGGGGGAAACCCUGAACCAGCAACGCCGCGUGAGGGAAGACGGUUUUCGGAUUGUAAACCUCUGUCCUCUGUGAAGAUAAUGACGGUAGCAGAGGAGGAAGCUCCGGCUAACUACGUGCCAGCAGCCGCGGUAAUACGUAGGGAGCAAGCGUUGUCCGGAUUUACUGGGUGUAAAGGGUGCGUAGGCGGCCCUGCAAGUCAGAAGUGAAAUCCAUGGGCUUAACCCGUGAACUGCUUUUGAAACUGUAGGGCUUGAGUGAAGUAGAGGCAGGCGGAAUUCCCGGUGUAGCGGUGAAAUGCGUAGAGAUCGGGAGGAACACCAGUGGCGAAGGCGGCCUGCUGGGCUUUAACUGACGCUGAAGCACGAAAGCGUGGGUAGCAAACAGGAUUAGAUACCCCAGUAGUC